This 253-nucleotide ribosomal RNA is filed under the name uncultured bacterium. Its description in RNAcentral is "partial 16S ribosomal RNA". It matches the Rfam family "Bacterial small subunit ribosomal RNA", at positions 524 to 776 of the family's 1533-position model. The record is from RNAcentral.
UACGUAGGGUGCAAGCGUUAUCCGGAAUUAUUGGGCGUAAGGAGCUCGUAGGCGGUUUGUCGCGUCUGCUGUUAAAACCGGAGGCUCAACCUCCGGCCUGCAGUGGGUACGGGCAAACUAGAGUGCGGUAGGGGAGAUUGGAAUUCCUGGUGUAGCGGUGGAAUGCGCAGAUAUCAGGAGGAACACCGGUGGCGAAGGCGGGAUCCUGGGCCAGUACUGACGCUGAGGAGCGAAAGCGUGGGGAGCAAACAGG